AACCUACCUUAUUCAGGGGGAUAGCCCGAAGAAAUUCGGAUUAACACCGCAUAAAAUCACAGCACAGCAUUGUGUAAUGAUCAAAUAUUUAUAGGAAUAAGAUGGGCAUGCGUGUCAUUAGCUAGUUGGCGGGGUAACGGCCCACCAAGGCGACGAUGACUAGGGGAUCUGAGAGGAUGACCCCCCACACUGGUACUGAGACACGGACCAGACUCCUACGGGAGGCAGCAGUAAGGAAUAUUGGUCAAUGGAGGCAACUCUGAACCAGCCAUGCCGCGUGCAG
Molecule: ribosomal RNA, 283 nt
Filed under: uncultured bacterium
Lineage: Bacteria
Description: partial 16S ribosomal RNA
Rfam family: Bacterial small subunit ribosomal RNA
Source: RNAcentral